This 429-nucleotide ribosomal RNA is filed under the name Chloroflexota bacterium. RNAcentral describes it as "Chloroflexi bacterium partial 16S ribosomal RNA". It matches the Rfam family "Bacterial small subunit ribosomal RNA", at positions 355 to 776 of the family's 1533-position model. The record is from RNAcentral. Lineage: Bacteria; Bacillati; Chloroflexota.
UGGGGAAUCUUGCACAAUGGGCGCAAGCCUGAUGCAGCCAUGCCGCGUGUAUGAAGAAGGCCUUCGGGUUGUAAAGUACUUUCAGCGGGGAGGAAGGGAGUAAAGUUAAUACCUUUGCUCAUUGACGUUACCCGCAGAAGAAGCACCGGCUAACUCCGUGCCAGCAGCCGCGGUAAUACGGAGGGUGCAAGCGUUAAUCGGAAUUACUGGGCGUAAAGCGCACGCAGGCGGUUUGUUAAGUCAGAUGUGAAAUCCCCGGGCUCAACCUGGGAACUGCAUCUGAUACUGGCAAGCUUGAGUGUCGUAGAGGGGGGUAGAAUUCCAGGUGUAGCGGUGAAAUGCGUAGAGAUCUGGAGGAAUACCGGUGGCGAAGGCGGCCCCCAGGACGAAGACUGACGCUCAGGUGCGAAAGCGUGGGGAGCAAACAGG